This 238-nucleotide ribosomal RNA is filed under the name uncultured bacterium. Its description in RNAcentral is "partial 16S ribosomal RNA". It matches the Rfam family "Bacterial small subunit ribosomal RNA", at positions 96 to 334 of the family's 1533-position model. The record is from RNAcentral.
CGGCGGACGGGUGAGUAACGCGUGGGUAACCUGCCUCGUACAGGGGGAUAACAGUUGGAAACGGCUGCUAAUACCGCAUAAGCGCACAGUACCGCAUGGUACGGUGUGAAAAACUCCGGUGGUAUGAGAUGGACCCGCGUCUGAUUAGGUAGUUGGUGGGGUAACGGCCUACCAAGCCGACGAUCAGUAGCCGACCUGAGAGGGUGACCGGCCACAUUGGGACUGAGACACGGCCCAG